RNAcentral lists this ribosomal RNA (413 nucleotides) under uncultured bacterium. RNAcentral's name for it is "bacterial SSU rRNA". It matches the Rfam family "Bacterial small subunit ribosomal RNA", at positions 119 to 518 of the family's 1533-position model. The record is from RNAcentral.
CGACAAUCUGCCCCCCGGCCCGGGAUAGCCCAGGGAAACCUGGAUUAAUACCGGAUGAGACGGGACCCGCGAAGGCGGGACCCGGGAAAGGCGCUGCGGCGCCGCCGGGGGAUGAGUCUGCGUCCCAGUUAGCUAGACGCGGGGUAACGGCCCACCGUGGCGACGAUGGGUAGCCGGCCUGAGAGGGUGGACGGCCACAUUGGAACUGAGACACGGUCCAGACUCCUACGGGAGGCAGCAGCUAAGAAUCUUCCGCAAUGGGCGAAAGCCUGACGGAAGCGACGCCGCGUGAACGAAGAAGGCCGUGAGGUUGUAAAGUUCUUUUCGGGAGGGGGAACAACCGUGGCAGGGAAUGGCCGCGGGAUGACGUGAAUCCCGGAAUAAGCCCCGGCUAACUACGUGCCAGCCGCCGC